GUAACAGAUAGUUCGAUCCUCCGGUCGACAACGCUGGCGGGAUGUUUGAUGCAAGUCGAACGGCAGCACGGACUUUGUCGGUGGCGAGUGGCGAACGGGUGAGUAAUGUAUCGGAACGCGCCAGUAGUUGCGGGGGAUAACUACGCGAAAGCGUAGCUAAUACCGCAUAUGCCCUUCGGGGAAAGUGGGGACCUUCGGGCCUCGCACUAUUAGAGCGGCCGAUAUCGGAUUAGCUAGUUAUGGGGUAACGGCUCACCAGGCGACGAUCCGGCGGCUCGAGAGACGAUCAGCCACACUGGGACCGACACGCCCAGACUCCCGGCGGAGGGCAGUGGGGAAUUUUGGACAAUGGGGAACCUGAUCCAGCCAUCCCGCGUGUGAUGUUUCGGGUUGUAAAGCACUUUGCAGGAAAGAAACGGCACGGGAUAUACCCCAGGCAACUGGAUACAGGUACUCGGUAGGAAUACACCGGCACAUGUGCCAGCAGCCGCGGUAAUGUAAAAGGGCAAUCUGACCACGGGCGUAAGCGUGCGCAGGCGGUUCGGAAAGAAGAUGAAAUCCCAGAGACGCAACUUGCUUUGGAACUGCAUUUUUAACUACCGAUAUAAAGCCGAGGGAGGUGACCGCGUGUAGCAGUGAAAUGCAGGUGGAGGAACACCGAUGGCGAAGGCAGCUCAGAUAACACUGACGCUCAUGCACACGAAAGCGUGGGGAGCAAAUGUAUUAUUCUGCAGUAGUCCACGCCCUAAACGAUGUCAGUCUAUUGGUUGGGGCCGGGCCUUGGUAGCGCAGCUAACGGGCAGUGAAGUUGACCGCCUGGGGAGUACGGUCGCAAGAUUAAACCGUGAGAAUUGACGGGGACUCGCACAAGCGGUGGAUGAUGUGGACACCUGAUGCAACGCGAAACCUUACCUACCCUUGACAUGUCUGGAAUCCCGGAAGAGAUUUGGGAGUGCUCGCAAGAGAACCGAACACAGGGCGCUGCAUGGCUGCCGUCAGUUUCCGUGUCGUGAGAUGUUAAGUUAAGUCCCGCAACGAGCGCAACCCUUGUCAUUAGUUGCUACGAAAGGGCACUCUAAUGAGACUGCCGGUGACAAACCUUGCGGAAGGUGGGGAUGACGUCAAGUCCUCAUGGCCCUUAAGGGUGGGCUUCACACGUCAUACAAUGGUCGGGACAGAGGGUCGCCAACCCGCGAGGGGAGCCAAUCCCAGAAAAACCCGAUCGUAGUCCGGAUCGCAGUCUGCAACUCGACUGCGUGAAGUCGGAAUCGCUAGUAAUCGCGGAUCAGGUCAGUGAAUACGUUCCCGGGUCUUCGGUGUACACACCGCCCGUCACACCACAUGGGAGUGGGUUUUACCAGAAGUAGUUAGCUCAACUGUAAGGAGGGCGAUACUACACGGAGACUCAUGACUGGGGUGAAGUCGUAACAAGGCAA
RNAcentral lists this ribosomal RNA (1436 nucleotides) under uncultured Bordetella sp. RNAcentral's name for it is "partial 16S-23S ribosomal RNA intergenic spacer". It matches the Rfam family "Bacterial small subunit ribosomal RNA". Lineage: Bacteria; Pseudomonadati; Pseudomonadota; Betaproteobacteria; Burkholderiales; Alcaligenaceae. The record is from RNAcentral.